GCACGAAAGGCGUAACGAUUUGGGCACUGUCUCAACGAGAGACUCGGUGAAAUCAUAGUACCUGUGAAGAUGCAGGUUACCCGCGACAGGACGGAAAGACCCCGUGGAGCUUUACUGUAGCCUGAUAUUGAAAUUCGGCACAGCUUGUACAGGAUAGGUAGGAGCCUUUGAAACGUGAGCGCUAGCUUACGUGGAGGCGUUGGUGGGAUACUACCCUAGCUGUGUUGGCUUUCUAACCCGCACCACUUAUCGUGGUGGGAGACAGUGUCAGGCGGGCAGUUUGACUGGGGCGGUCGCCUCCUAAAAGGUAACGGAGGCGCUCAAAGGUUCCCUCAGAAUGGUUGGAAAUCAUUCAUAGAGUGUAAAGGCAUAAGG
RNAcentral lists this ribosomal RNA (375 nucleotides) under Escherichia coli. Its description in RNAcentral is "partial 23S ribosomal RNA". It matches the Rfam family "Bacterial large subunit ribosomal RNA", at positions 1990 to 2364 of the family's 2925-position model. Lineage: Bacteria; Pseudomonadati; Pseudomonadota; Gammaproteobacteria; Enterobacterales; Enterobacteriaceae. The record is from RNAcentral.